CAGUCGCCGCGGUAAUGCGAAGGGUGCAAGCGUUAAUCGGAAUUACUGGGCGUAAAGCGUGCGUAGGCGGUGAGUUAAGUCUGCUGUGAAAUCCCCGGGCUCAACCUGGGAAUGGCAGUGGAUACUGGCUCGCUAGAGUGUGUCAGAGGAUGGUGGAAUUCCCGGUGUAGCGGUGAAAUGCGUAGAGAUCGGGAGGAGCAUCAGUGGCGAAGGCGGCCAUCUGGGACAACACUGACGCUGAGGCACGAAAACGUGGGGAGCAAACAGGAUUAGAUACCCCAGUAGUCCCUGUCUCUUAUAC
Molecule: ribosomal RNA, 301 nt
Filed under: uncultured bacterium
Lineage: Bacteria
Description: partial 16S ribosomal RNA
Rfam family: Bacterial small subunit ribosomal RNA
Source: RNAcentral